Molecule: ribosomal RNA, 329 nt
Filed under: uncultured Pseudomonas sp.
Lineage: Bacteria; Pseudomonadati; Pseudomonadota; Gammaproteobacteria; Pseudomonadales; Pseudomonadaceae
Description: bacterial SSU rRNA
Rfam family: Bacterial small subunit ribosomal RNA
Source: RNAcentral
GUCAGCUCGUGUCGUGAGAUGUUGGUUAAGUCCCGUAACGAGCGCAACCCUUGUCCUUAGUUACCAGCACGUUAUGUGGGGCACUCUAAGGAGACUGCCGGUGGACAAACCGGAGGAAGGUGGGGAUGACGUCAAGUCAUCAUGGCCCUUACGGCCUGGGCUACACACGUGCUACAAUGGUCGGUACAAAGGGUUGCCAAGCCGCGAGGUGGAGCUAAUCCCAUAAAACCGAUCGUAGUCCGGAUCGCAGUCUGCAACUCGACUGCGUGAAGUCGGAAUCGCUAGUAAUCGUGAAUCAGAAUGUCACGGUGAAUACGUUCCCGGGCCUU